UCGCAUUUAUCAGUGGGGUGUGGCUCAUGCUGUAGCUCAGUAUCUCACAGAUCCAGAAAGUGUCAGUGUGGACUGUUUGUCUCUCAGUGUCUACAUCUACAGAGUGAGCAGUGAGGGUCAUUCUGUGUUUGUUUUCAGUGGUUCAUCAAUGAACAAAUAAAAACCAUUACCUGGAUUGGACUGAGUUACUCAGUGGAUAAUGGUAACUGGCUCUGGGUGUAUGGAACCCCUCUGCAGAAAGGAUCCUGGGGGAAAGGAAAGUCAGAUGGUAAAAAUGAAUCUGGUUGUGCCGUGAUUGCCCCUAAUGCGAAUGCAUGGGAUGCUUUUGACUGUUCUAAUAAGCAUAAUUUCAUCUGUGAGACUAAUGCUCUGCUCCCCUAAACCAUUUUUUAUCUUUGUAUGUUUUUGGUUCUCUCAUCUUGUGAGAGGCCGUUGACCAUGCCAGGGUUGACAGUCAAACACAGGACCAAUAAGCAGACCACAAUGUUACUGUUUCUGUUGGGAAUAUAUGGAAUAUACAUACUGCUGUCUUUACUAGAAAUGUAUCUGUGAGACUAAGCUUUGUUAAAUGCAUUGAAAUGACUGUACAUGCAGAGUAGAUUUAAGCUAUUACAUUAUUGGUUCUAUGGACAUAUUGUAAGUAUAAAAAAUCAAAAACCAUA
Long non-coding RNA from Anguilla anguilla (European eel), 662 nucleotides. RefSeq lists it as uncharacterized. The transcript has 2 exons. Lineage: Eukaryota; Metazoa; Chordata; Actinopteri; Anguilliformes; Anguillidae. The record is from RefSeq and is a predicted model, not a curated record.